RNAcentral lists this long non-coding RNA (374 nucleotides) under Homo sapiens (human). RNAcentral describes it as "HSALNT0340183". Lineage: Eukaryota; Metazoa; Chordata; Mammalia; Primates; Hominidae. The record is from RNAcentral.
CGACCCCCAGAAGGCUGCGCGGCACGGUGUGACCUGCGCAGUGGCGUCCGUUCUAAGUGCUAUAACAACAGGGGGAAGAUGGCUCAGAGUUAGGCUGGAGAGGGGCGGUGUCCCUUCCGCCGCAGCCGCGGGGUUUCUGCUACAUCCCAUUCGCCACCUCCGCCAUCCUUUUUUCUGUGUGAGCAGAAGGGCUUGCAGUUGUUCUCUCCUGCCUAGUGUCUUCCAAGGGAUAGAUGCCAUUUCUUCUGCUGGUCUCUGGGGUCUGGAAUUUUGCCGCUUCUUGGUUGACAGAAUCCAAGGGUAUAUUGUCACAGAGAAGACUCCAGCCUGAUGUCUAUGGGACCUGAGUCCACACUGUGGAGGGCACAAGCUGU